UAAUAAGGGAAUUAGAUAUUAAUUAUUCAUGACUUUUUAUCAUAUGAUAAUAAUAACACGUGCAAUAGAUGAUUCGUAAUCGAUAUCACGAUAUCUUUCUCUCUGAUAUCUUUAGACACACUUGCGUACGAAAAGCAGAUUAAACACUGCAUUUAACAGUGUAAGAUAUAAAUUACAUCGAAUCAAGAUUGACACGUUCGUAUUAUUAGAUUGUAGUUUAAAUAUAAAUACAUAAGCUUACCUGUGACAGAACACUCCUCGAUAAUAUUUCGAUGAUUAUUAUGGCGAUGAAAUGAUGCGUAAUCUAUUCUUAUGGUGGCAACAAAAUUAUUCACUGAAAUACACUUACAAACAAUCCUUAAACAAUUGAACAUGAAUAAAUAGAAAAAGACGAAUACCAAAUUUUCAAUAAUCAUCUUAAAAAAUAUGAAUAAAAAAAAAAAAGAGAGAGGACCAAGCAAUACAUAACAUGGAAGAACCAAGUGUUUACCACAGUACAGUACAGGAGAAGAUGAUAACGAGUUCGAAGACUCGAUAAUCCAUGGAAAGGGGAGGGGGGAAAGACGCUGUAUGAUGACGACCCCUGAGGGUCGAGCAUCUCGCCAUUCUUCGUUUGUCAGUCGAACUUAAUUAUCAUUGACAGAAGGGGCACGAGAGCUUCGGUGUGCUUGCUUCCGUGGAAAUCGCGCGGAAUAUUGAGGACGAGGAGGAAGGAAGGAAAUGAGCUCGAGAAAACCGAGAAGGGACUCGGACGUCCUGUUGUCCAAGUUCGGUCACAAGGAGUUGCUGUUCAAGUUCCUCGUAAUCGGUGAUUAUGGAGUCGGUGCGUCCAGGCCGUUUUAAAAAUAUUUGAAAAAUCUGCCGGGGGAACACGGUUUUCGACUCG
Long non-coding RNA from Apis mellifera (honey bee), 886 nucleotides. RefSeq lists it as uncharacterized. The record is from RefSeq and is a predicted model, not a curated record. The transcript is spliced from 2 exons. Lineage: Eukaryota; Metazoa; Arthropoda; Insecta; Hymenoptera; Apidae.